Molecule: ribosomal RNA, 253 nt
Filed under: uncultured bacterium
Lineage: Bacteria
Description: partial 16S ribosomal RNA
Rfam family: Bacterial small subunit ribosomal RNA
Source: RNAcentral
UACGAAGGGUGCAAGCGUUACUCGGAAUUACUGGGCGUAAAGCGUGCGUAGGUGGUGAGUUAAGUCUGUCGUGAAAGCCCCGGGCUCAACCUGGGAAUGGCGAUGGAUACUGGCUCGCUAGAGUGCGGUAGAGGAGAGUGGAAUUCCCGGUGUAGCAGUGAAAUGCGUAGAGAUGUGGAGGAAUACCGAUGGCGAAGGCAGCCCCCUGGGAUAACACUGACGCUCAUGUACGAAAGCGUGGGUAGCAAACAGG